RNAcentral lists this transfer RNA (84 nucleotides) under Mollicutes bacterium. RNAcentral's name for it is "tRNA-Leu". It matches the Rfam family "tRNA". Rfam says of the family: Transfer RNA (tRNA) molecules are approximately 80 nucleotides in length. Their secondary structure includes four short double-helical elements and three loops (D, anti-codon, and T loops). Further hydrogen bonds mediate the characteristic L-shaped molecular structure. tRNAs have two regions of fundamental functional importance: the anti-codon, which is responsible for specific mRNA codon recognition, and the 3' end, to which the tRNAs corresponding amino acid is attached (by aminoacyl-tRNA synthetases). tRNAs cope with the degeneracy of the genetic code in two manners: having more than one tRNA (with a specific anti-codon) for a particular amino acid; and 'wobble' base-pairing, i.e. permitting non-standard base-pairing at the 3rd anti-codon position. RNAcentral also lists the same sequence under 2 other names. Lineage: Bacteria; Bacillati; Mycoplasmatota; Mollicutes. The record is from RNAcentral.
GCCUAGCUGGCGGAAUGGUAGACGCAAACGACUCAAAAUCGUUCGGAGAAAUCCAUGCGAGUUCGACUCUCGCGCCAGGCACCA